UGGGGAAUUUUGGACAAUGGGCGAAAGCCUGAUCCAGCAAUGCCGCGUGUGUGAAGAAGGCCUUCGGGUUGUAAAGCACUUUUGUCCGGAAAGAAAUCCUUGGCUCUAAUACAGUCGGGGGAUGACGGUACCGGAAGAAUAAGCACCGGCUAACUACGUGCCAGCAGCCGCGGUAAUACGUAGGGUGCAAGCGUUAAUCGGAAUUACUGGGCGUAAAGCGUGCGCAGGCGGUUUGCUAAGACCGAUGUGAAAUCCCCGGGCUCAACCUGGGAACUGCAUUGGUGACUGGCAGGCUAGAGUAUGGCAGAGGGGGGUAGAAUUCCACGUGUAGCAGUGAAAUGCGUAGAGAUGUGGAGGAAUACCGAUGGCGAAGGCAGCCCCCUGGGCCAAUACUGACGCUCAUGCACGAAAGCGUGGGGAGCAAACAGGAUUAGAUACCCUGGUAGUCCACGCCCUAAACGAUGUCAACUAGUUGUUGGGGGAUUCAUUUCCUUAGUAACGUAGCUAACGCGUGAAGUUGACCGCCUGGGGAGUACGGUCGCAAGAUUAAAACUUAAAGGAAUUGACGGGGU
RNAcentral lists this ribosomal RNA (572 nucleotides) under uncultured bacterium. RNAcentral's name for it is "partial 16S ribosomal RNA". It matches the Rfam family "Bacterial small subunit ribosomal RNA", at positions 355 to 919 of the family's 1533-position model. The record is from RNAcentral.